This 314-nucleotide unclassified non-coding RNA is filed under the name uncultured Tomentella. RNAcentral's name for it is "sequence contains 5.8S rRNA gene". The record is from RNAcentral. Lineage: Eukaryota; Fungi; Basidiomycota; Agaricomycetes; Thelephorales; Thelephoraceae.
GAACGCACCUUGCGCCCUUUGGCUAUUCUGAAGGGCAUGCCUGUUUGAGUAUCAUGAACACCUCAACUCUCAUGGUCUGCCAUGAUGAGCUUGGACUUUGGGGGUCUUGCCGGCCUAGCGUCGGCUCCUCUCAAAUGCAUCAGCUUGCCAGUGUUUGGCGGCAUCACAGGUGUGAUAACUAUCUACGCUUGUGGUUUUCCGCCAUGUAACCUUCAGUGAUGGAGGUUCGCUGGAGCUCACAGAAGUCUCUCCUCGGCGAGGACAGCUUUUUGAACGUUUGAUCUCAAAUCAGGUAGGACUACCCGCUGAACUUA